Small nuclear RNA from Callithrix jacchus (white-tufted-ear marmoset), 104 nucleotides. NCBI's taxonomy places the organism in Eukaryota, Metazoa, Chordata, Mammalia, Primates, Cebidae. The record is from Ensembl.
GUGCCUGCUUCAGCAGCACAUAUCCUAGUACUGGAACAAUACAGAGAUUAGUACAGCCCCUGUGCAAGGAUGACACCAAUUGUCAUGAAGCAUUCAAAAAAAAA